CCCGCACUUCAACCGCUCCGAGCAGGUCAUGAAGUAGUUUUUUCGGCUCACCUGCGGCGGCGAGUCUAAGUCUAUGG
This 77-nucleotide small RNA is filed under the name [Clostridium] ultunense Esp. The record is from RNAcentral. Lineage: Bacteria; Bacillati; Bacillota; Tissierellia; Tissierellales; Tepidimicrobiaceae.